GGCACGAAUGGGUUAAGAAACAUGUUUUUAGGGAUCAGAUUUUCAAUGUACAAUGUAUUAGCCAUGGCCAUUGUUCCCUGCAAAAGGGUCACUGUGGAGCAACAAUAAAGGGCUAGAUGGUCUCCUGCUGUGAUAUUUGUACAUAACAAGGAACUGAACAGCUUCAAACAGGCUUGGAAGAUAGAAACUUGCCCCAUCCUCCAUUGGUUUCUUAUAGCGGCCCGUAAAUUGGUUUUACAUAUUAGUAAACAAGUCUGAAUACCUAACAGAGAGAUAUUAGGUGCAUGAAUCCAUGUUCCCAGUUUAAACAUAAAAAAAAAAAUCCCACUCUUGGUGUCUG
Molecule: non-coding RNA, 340 nt
Organism: Pelobates cultripes (western spadefoot toad)
Lineage: Eukaryota; Metazoa; Chordata; Amphibia; Anura; Pelobatidae
Source: the annotation of a GenBank genome assembly